RNAcentral lists this ribosomal RNA (432 nucleotides) under uncultured bacterium. RNAcentral describes it as "partial 16S ribosomal RNA". It matches the Rfam family "Bacterial small subunit ribosomal RNA", at positions 28 to 506 of the family's 1533-position model. The record is from RNAcentral.
AGCGAACGCUGGCGGCAGGCUUAACACAUGCAAGUCGAGCGGGCACACCGGUGUCAUCGGCCGACGGGGGUGUAACCCGUCGGAACGUACCCUUGGGGUCGGCAUAACGCUGGGAAACGAGCGCUAAUACCGGAUACGCGCUUUUGGGGAAAGGCUUGCUGCCCAAGGAUCGGCCCGCGUCUGAUUAGCUAGUUGGUGGGGUAAUGGCCUACCAAGGCGACGAUCAGUAGCUGGGCUGAGAGGAUGGUCACCCACCCUGGGAGGGGGACACGGCCCAGACUCCUACGGGAGGGCGCAGUGGGGACUAUUGGACGCUGCGCGCAAGCCUGAUGCAGCCAUGCCGCGUGAGUGAUGAAGGCCGUAGGGUUGUAAAGCUCUUUUGCCCGGGACGUUAAUGCCGGUACCGGAAGAAUAGGCCCCGGCUACCUCCGU